AUGCUUAAUGAUAGAAUAAACACAUGUGACCUUCUUACCAGGAAAAGCUUUCAUCUUCAAUCCACAUCAUGUGUUUUAUGCAAUGAUGAAGGGAUGGAAGAUAGAACUCAUUUAUUAUUCUCAUGCACCUUCAGCCAAUUUUUUUGGUGGAAUAUUGGUAUUGAGUGGAACACUGACCUGAGCAUACAUGAUAUGAUUAUUGAUGCCAAGCUAAGAUAUAAACUGCCAUUCUUCAUGGAAAUAAUGACUUUGGGAUGCUGGAGUAUAUGGAAUCAGAGAAAUGGAUUGAUCUUUGAGGAUAUCCCAUGCUCUAUAAUUUCAGGCAGAUUUGAUUUCAUCAAAACUUUCAAGCUGACCAUGUUGAGAGCCAAGCCCAGCCUCAAGGAUGGCAUGUCAUCCUCGAUAGACAACAUUUGA
Molecule: ribosomal RNA, 417 nt
Filed under: Triticum aestivum (bread wheat)
Lineage: Eukaryota; Viridiplantae; Streptophyta; Magnoliopsida; Poales; Poaceae
Description: partial small subunit ribosomal RNA
Source: RNAcentral